Molecule: ribosomal RNA, 444 nt
Filed under: uncultured bacterium
Lineage: Bacteria
Description: bacterial SSU rRNA
Rfam family: Bacterial small subunit ribosomal RNA
Source: RNAcentral
GUGGGGAAUCUUGCGCAAUGGGCGGAAGCCUGACGCAGCAACGCCGCGUGGGGGAUGACGGCCUUCGGGUUGUAAACCUCUUUCGCGAUCGACGAAGCUCGCACUUUUGGUGUGGGUGACGGUAGGUCGAGAAGAAGCACCGGCCAACUACGUGCCAGCAGCCGCGGUAAUACGUAGGGUGCGAGCGUUGUCCGGAAUUAUUGGGCGUAAAGAGCUCGUAGGCGGUGUGUCGCGUCGGCCGUGAAAACCUGGGGCUCAACUCUGGGCGUGCGGUCGAUACGGGCAUCACUGGAGUUCGGCAGGGGAGACUGGAAUUCCUGGUGUAGCGGUGAAAUGCGCAGAUAUCAGGAGGAACACCGGUGGCGAAGGCGGGUCUCUGGGCCGAUACUGACGCUGAGGAGCGAAAGCAUGGGUAGCGAACAGGAUUAGAAACCCUUGUAGUCC